UUACUGAGUUUACGCUCUAUAACCCUUUGUGAACAUACCUAUAACUGUUGCUUCGGCGGGUAGGGUCUCCGCGACCCUCCCGGCCUCCCGCCUCCGGGCGGGUCGGCGCCCGCCGGAGGAUAACCAAACUCUGAUUUAACGACGUUUCUUCUGAGUGGUACAAGCAAAUAAUCAAAACUUUUAACAACGGAUCUCUUGGUUCUGGCAUCGAUGAAGAACGCAGCGAAAUGCGAUAAGUAAUGUGAAUUGCAGAAUUCAGUGAAUCAUCGAAUCUUUGAACGCACAUUGCGCCCGCCAGCAUUCUGGCGGGCAUGCCUGUUCGAGCGUCAUUUCAACCCUCAAGCUCUGCUUGGUGUUGGGGCCCUACAGCUGAUGUAGGCCCUCAAAGGUAGUGGCGGACCCUCCCGGAGCCUCCUUUGCGUAGUAACUUUACGUCUCGCACUGGGAUCCGGAGGGACUCUUGCCGUAAAACCCCCCAAUUUUCCAAAGGUUGACCUCGGAUCAGGUAGGAAUACCCGCUGAACUUAAGCAUAUCAAUAAGCGGAGGAAAAGAAACCAACAGGGAUUGCCUCAGUAACGGCGAGUGAAGCGGCAACAGCUCAAAUUUGAAAUCUGGCCCUAGGCCCGAGUUGUAAUUUGCAGAGGAUGCUUUUGGUGCGGUGCCUUCCAAGUUCCCUAGAACGGGACGCCAGAGAGGGUGAGAGCCCCGUACAGUUGGACACCAAGCCUUUGUAAAGCUCCUUCGACGAGUCGAGUAGUUUGGGAAUGCUGCUCAAAAUGGGAGGUAUAUUUCUUCUAAAGCUAAAUACCGGCCAGAGACCGAUAGCGCACAAGUAGAGUGAUCGAAAGAUGAAAAGCACUUUGAAAAGAGGGUUAAACAGCACGUGAAAUUGUUAAAAGGGAAGCGCUUGUGACCAGACUUGCGUCCGGUGAAUCACCCAGCUCUCGCGGCUGGGGCACUUCGCCGGCUCAGGCCAGCAUCAGCUCGCUGUCGGGGACAAAAGCUUCAGGAACGUAGCUCUCUUCGGGGAGUGUUAUAGCCUGUUGCACAAUACCCUUCGGCGGGCUGA
This 1070-nucleotide unclassified non-coding RNA is filed under the name leaf metagenome. RNAcentral describes it as "partial contains internal transcribed spacer 1, 5.8S ribosomal RNA, internal transcribed spacer 2, and large subunit ribosomal RNA". The stretch from base 492 to 1070 matches the Rfam family "Eukaryotic large subunit ribosomal RNA", at positions 1 to 591 of the family's 3401-position model. The record is from RNAcentral.